GACGAACGCUGGCGGCGUGCCUAAUACAUGCAAGUCGAACGAAGCUGUUUUAACUGGUGCUUGCACCGACUUAAACAACUGAGUGGCGAACGGGUGAGUAACACGUGGGUAACCUGCCCCAAAGCGGGGAUAACAUUUGGAAACAGAUGCUAAUACCGCAUAACCACAGAAACCACAUGGUUUCUGUGUCAAAGAUGGUUUCGGCUAUCACUUUGGGAUGGACCCGCGGCGUAUUAGCUAGUUGGUAAGGUAAUGGCUUACCAAGGCAAUGAUACGUAGCCGAACUGAGAGGUUGAUCGGCCACAUUGGGAGUGAGACACGGCCCAAACUCCUACGGGAGGCAGCAGUAGGGAAUCUUCCACAAUGGACGAAAGUCUGAUGGAGCAACGCCGCGUGAGUGAAGAAGGUUUUCGGAUCGUAAAACUCUGUUGUCAGAGAAGAACGUGUGCGAGAGUAACUGCUCGUGCAGUGACGGUAUCUGGCCAGAAAGCCACGGCUAACUACGUGCCAGCAGCCGCAGUAA
This 523-nucleotide ribosomal RNA is filed under the name uncultured bacterium. Its description in RNAcentral is "partial 16S ribosomal RNA". It matches the Rfam family "Bacterial small subunit ribosomal RNA", at positions 28 to 523 of the family's 1533-position model. The record is from RNAcentral.